RNAcentral lists this ribosomal RNA (598 nucleotides) under uncultured bacterium. Its description in RNAcentral is "bacterial SSU rRNA". It matches the Rfam family "Bacterial small subunit ribosomal RNA", at positions 59 to 667 of the family's 1533-position model. The record is from RNAcentral.
CAGUCGAGCGGGAGUUAAGGUAGCUUGCUACUUUAACUUUAGCGGCGGACGGGUGAGUAACGCGUGAGCAACCUGCCCUAUACGCAGGGAUAACAUUGAGAAAUCGAUGCUAAUACCUUAUAAGCUAACGGUUAAACAUUUAACAGUUACAAAAGCUGAGGCGGUAUAGGAUGGGCUCGCGUCUGAUUAGCUUGUUGGUAAGGUAAAGGCUUACCAAGGCGACGAUCAGUAGCCGACCUGAGAGGGUGAACGGCCACAUUGGAACUGAGACGCGGUCCAAACUCCUACGGGAGGCAGCCCUGGGGAAUAUUGCACAAUGGGGGGAACCCUGAUGCAGCAACGCCGCGUGAAGGAAGAAGUAUUUCGGUAUGUAAACUUCUAUCGAUGGGGAAGAAAAAAAUGACGGUACCUAAAUAAGAAGCACCGGCUAAAUACGUGCCAGCAGCCGCGGUAAUACGUAUGGUGCAAGCGUUAUCCGGAAUUACUGGGUGUAAAGGGUGAAUAUGCGGUUAUGCAAGUCAUAUGUGAAAGACUGUGGCUCAACCACAGAGGUGCAUAAGAAACUGUGUAACUAGAGUGCAGGAGAGGUAAGCGGAAU